GUUGUUUGCUAGGACAAUGGUAUCCAGUGUUCGUGAGUGAUCUAUUUCGUGAGGAAAAUGUACUUUAAACAACUACUUCAGUAUUAUGGUAAAGCGAAGUGGCACGUCUACCGGUCGAAAGCAGAACCUCCUCCAGCUACCCGUCUAGAAGAUCUUACCGCUGUAGGAAUACCUUCCACGUCGAGAGUAAUGAGUAAGGUGGAGGACCGACGGCAAGGGAUCAGAAGAGCUGCUGGAAUCGCCGAACAAAAAUCAAACCGUUCGAUUGGUUUUUCCCAAUUGAAAAAGCGGUCUUCAGAUGUUUCGCUAGAGACCAGCAUGACCACGGUGACCAAGAGCAGCAAGACAUACGACACAAACGAAACAAAAGACGAAAAGCGUAGAAAAAAGCUCACCCCCGAAGAGUUGAAAAGGGAUAGCGAAUCGCCCAAACAACAAGUGGUCCUACCUCAGAAAAAGCGAGUCCUUCCGGCGUCAGCAACAAACAGUCCGGCAAAGAAAAAUCAGAAGACAAGUUGCUACAACACCUCACCUCAGGAGGAGGCGGCUGCUGACGAAAAUUUAAUUAGAGAGACCGAAGCAGCCCUAAAGAAUUUGUCGGGCAGCUGGCCGGGCCCCCGGGGCUCCUCCUAUACCAAGCACCAAGAGGAAUCGCCCGCAUUCGAGAAUCUUUUCGAGGAAAAGAAAUCAAACCCCAAAUACUCGCCCUCGUCUAACUGUUCGUCUUCGAGUAGCGGUAGUGAGAGCGGCUGUUCCCUAAAAGACGUCAUAACCCUGCGGGAGCCGAGUGGCGAUUCAGAUAAAUCCGGCAAAGGGGAUAAGACGACGUCGACGGCUGGCAAACAGUUAAAAAUUAAACAAGAAAGCGAUCUCGAUAACCUGAUAAAAAUCGAGAACGAGUGCGCCUCGAUCCAAGCGCAAACAAAGGCGAAAAGUAAACUGAACGCAGCAACUAAAGGGUCGAAUGAGCCGCCGCCGACCCUUUCGUCCCACUACGAACCCCCCGACUUCAACGAAUUAGUCGACGACUCGUCUAACGAAUUAGAAAUUGAUAUGUCGGAAGCGAGCGGAGACAGAGACGACAGCACCACUAACGAUGACAAAUUGCACUCAUCGCCGAAAGAAAAACGAAUCGAACCGUCAAAAUCGACAAAAUACUCCUUGGAGGAAUCCGCACCAUCAGUCAAUAAUAACACCUCCCCGUUCCUUCCCUACAUCCGUUCCAAUAUAACGUCGUCCGCGUCACCUUUCUCGAGCUCUUCCGCGUUCCGACCUCCGAAUCUCGAAUCUUCGAAAAAACCACCGAUCGGGGUCAGCCCUUUGGGUCCGUAUCCCGGCGAGGCGACCUUUGUGGGCUACAGUAGCCUACCGUCGUCGUCUUCAGACAACCGCUCGCCCAUGUCGUCGCCCGAAAACAAGAAAGUUCCCUUGCCCCAACUCAAGCAAGAGAAUCUCGCAAAUAUCGACACGUCGUCGUCAUGUUCAAGCGCGGAUAACAAGUCGGUGGCGUCCCCCGAGGACGUGAACAAACAGUAUACGAUCCUGCAGCCCGCCGGCGCCGGUUCUCGGGCAGCCAGCGCUCUUCAGGAAGCCGCAAGGGACGGGGUUCAGAGCAUGUCUGCGGUCUCUAGCAGCAGCAGCAGCAGCAGCAACAGCAGCAGUAGCAGCAACAGUAGCAACUCCUCGAACGAAUCCAAAACCUCCGCGGCUGCUCCCUUCGACAGGGUUUCCGGAACUUUAUCUCCAAACAGCAUCGGCAGAGAGAGCAGUAAAUGUCCCACUCCGGGUUGCAACGGUCAGGGACACGUCACAGGCCUCUACUCCCAUCACAGGAGUUUAUCAGGAUGUCCUAGAAAAGACAAAGUUACUCCCGAAAUCCUGGCAAUGCAUGAAACAAUCCUGAAAUGUCCCACGCCUGGAUGCAACGGCCGUGGACAUGUUAGCUCGAAUCGAAACACGCACAGGAGCCUGUCAGGUUGUCCUAUUGCAGCAGCCAGCAAACAGGCUGCACGGGAACAGAAAUAUCAUGCGUCACUACAACACAGAAUUCGAUCGUCGCCGAAUUCGUCGCUUGUGAACUGCCAAGGCGACUUCGCCCAAUCGGGAUUCGAGAGUAAACAAAAUCCCGUUUCCGCAAACGUUGACAUAAAGCCCUCUUAUCUGGCUUCUUACGAAACAGCAAGCGGAAGUCAAAGCAUUUCGUGUAACAACACCAAAACGGACUUCGGCUCUUAUUAUUCGAAACUCCAAGAGGGUAAAAGUGAUACCGGAAUGAAGAUUCCCAAAUCAGAAUCCGUCACCGCAAACUGCUGCAGCAUGCCAGGAAGAAAUGACCUUCUAAUACCAAAAACGGAAACUUCAAACUCCUGCGCAUCUCCAUCGGGAAUUCGAUCCUACGAUCCCUACACGAACCAAGAUUCGAAUUCCUCUUCAAUGUCUGGAAUGGAAAAUGUUACCAGUACUCGCGGCCAUCAUCAUUCAAUGCAACCGCCAUCUUUGCACCAUCAAAAUCCGCAUUCGUCUAGCUAUAGCCUCGAUGAAACACGUCAGUUACCUCAUCGGUCACCUUAUCAACAGUCGCCCAUGUCUGGCGAUGAACUGUACAGAUCUGACCAUUCCAUGAGAUACACUGAAAUCGGCGAUUCCAUAAGCGGUGGAAUAGCAAGGCCCACGGUGACGUACCCAAGUGAGAUGGGAUCACGACCAUACGACAGUUCCCUCACAAGCCACCGUCCGUACGAUCCAGGGACGGCAUUUGAAAGGUACGAUUCGUCGAACCAAUGUAACACUCUGCAACAGCCCAUGCCGCAAAGAGCUCAAGGAAUUUACGGCUACGGAUCGAUAGAAAACCAACAAGAGCAUAGGUACCAGCAAGAAACUGGCACUUCUCUGUCUCUGGGUGGUUCCGGUGCGGUUAUGAAAACGGAAGACCAAGAACCCACGCAACCUCUGUAUCCAAGACCAAUGUACCAGUACGACGCAUCUGCAGGUCCCAUUCCGAUGGGGUUUUCCGCUAUUAAUUUGUCAGUAAAGUGCGUUACGACAGCCCAGAGUCAACUCAAAGGCGGAGGACCUCACACGUCUCCAGGAGGAACCGUCAUGGACUUGUCCACAUCCAGCGUUACCACCAGCAGUUCUCAGGUGGCGUACAACUCCUCGUACGGAGGCCAGCAGCGGAUGGGAGGAAGCCCGCGAGCUGCCGCCAGUCCCCACUUGUCCUCCGCCAGUCCCCAGGUGCCCAGCCCACAAGGCCAAACGCUAGACCUCAGCGUCAGUCGACUGUCCCACAGUAGCGGUACUAGUCCAUCUCGAUAUCAUAACGGUCACGGCGAGCCGGUACCGGUACAACAGGGUUUCGUAGGACCGCGGGGCGAACAAACAGAACCCGUCGACUUCAGCGCCGCUAAUGAACCGGUUAAUUUCAGCGGAGUCCGUCCAGUUGCCACCUUUGCUGCUGGACCAGUUAUCGGACCGCCACCCGGAUCCGGUUACAGCAGGGAAUCCACGCCAGACAGUGGAGGAUCUCACUACAUGGACCCUUACAGAGACCCUUCCGGAUACGGCCCUGUUAGUCCACAUCCUGGAUAUGGAAUGACGCCUGUAACAACGGAUUAUCCAACGAAUCCUUACACCUCGUAUCCCGGAACUGGAUACUCCUGUGGCGGCACUUAUCCAGGAGCGGUGACCACGGGAUACCCUGCUCCACCGAGUGGCUACUCACCAGGUCCAUGCUACUCCAUGCCUCCACCUCAACAUUCGUUACCUCAACACGAUAAAGUGUCAGGCAAAGACAAUGGUUUGUCGGGUUGUCCGAGGGCAGAUCGCUCUCAAAUACAGACACACUCACAAGAAUUGAAAUGUCCCACCCCUGGAUGUGACGGAUCCGGUCACGUAACAGGAAAUUAUUCAUCUCAUCGGAGCCUGUCAGGAUGUCCAAGGGCCAACAAGCCAAAAAGUAAACCGAGAGAUGGACAGGACUCUGAACCUUUACGACCAUAAACUAAAAUUUAUGUUAUGCCUACAUUCCCUGCCAUCCCGCUAACUAUUGUACUUAUAUAAGUAAGUGCUUCUGGUUGUCCAAUCGCCAACCG
This 4091-nucleotide unclassified non-coding RNA is filed under the name Agrilus planipennis (emerald ash borer). RNAcentral describes it as "myelin transcription factor 1, transcript variant X7". The record is from RNAcentral. Lineage: Eukaryota; Metazoa; Arthropoda; Insecta; Coleoptera; Buprestidae.